RNAcentral lists this ribosomal RNA (467 nucleotides) under uncultured bacterium. RNAcentral's name for it is "bacterial SSU rRNA". It matches the Rfam family "Bacterial small subunit ribosomal RNA", at positions 355 to 825 of the family's 1533-position model. The record is from RNAcentral.
UAGGGAAUAUUGGACAAUGGGUGAGAGCCUGAUCCAGCCAUGCCGCGUGCAGGAAGAAGGCGUUAUGCGUUGUAAACUGCUUUUUGCCAGGGGAUAAAAUGACCGUGCGCGGUUAAUUGAAGGUACCUGGUGAAUAAGCCACGGCUAACUACGUGCCAGCAGCCGCGGUAAUACGUAGGUGGCAAGCGUUGUCCGGAUUUAUUGGGUUUAAAGGGUGCGUAGGUGGCUAACUAAGUCAGUGGUGAAAUAUCUCAGCUUAACUGAGAGGGUGCCAUUGAUACUGGAUAGCUUGAGUACAGAUGAGGUAGGCGGAAUUGACGGUGUAGCGGUGAAAUGCAUAGAUAUCGUCAAGAACACCGAUAGCGAAGGCAGCUUACCAAGCUGUAACUGACACUGAGGCACGAAAGUGUGGGGAUCAAACAGGAUUAGAUACCCAAGUAGUCCCUGAGCGGGCUGGCAAGGCGCAU